RNAcentral lists this ribosomal RNA (818 nucleotides) under uncultured bacterium. RNAcentral's name for it is "bacterial SSU rRNA". It matches the Rfam family "Bacterial small subunit ribosomal RNA", at positions 31 to 836 of the family's 1533-position model. The record is from RNAcentral.
AGACCUGGCGGCGGCCUCAUACAUGCAAGUCGAGCGAUUAAAGCUCCUUCGGGAGUGUAUAAAGCGGCGAACGGGUGAGUAACAGGUGGAUGAUCUGCCUCCCGGUGGGGGAUAACGGCUGGAAACGGCCGCUAAUACCGCAUUCGGUUGUUGCGUUGCGGCGCAGCAAAGAAAGGCGCUUCACGGCGUCGCCGGGAGAUGAGUCCGCCCCCCAUUAGCUAGUUGGUGGGAUAACAGCCCCCCAAGGCGACGAUGGGUAGCCGAGCUGAGAGGUUGAUCGGCCACACUGGAACUGAGACACGGUCCAGACACCUACGGGUGGCAGCAGUAGGGAAUAUUGGACAAUGGGCGAAAGCCUGAUCCAGCCAUGCCGCGUGAGCGAAGACGGCCUUCUAGGUUGUAAAGCUCUUUUCUGAGGGAAGAAUUUCCGGGGUAGGAAAUGCCCCCGGCUUGACGGUACCUCAGGAAUAAGGAACGGCUAACUCCGUGCCAGCAGCCGCGGUAAUACGGAGGUUCCAAGCGUUGUUCGGAAUUACUGGGCGUAAAGGGAGCGUAGGCGGACAGGUCAGUCUAAAGUGGAAUCCCGGGGCUCAACCUCGGACGUGCUUCGGAUACUGCCAGUCUUGAGUUCGCGAGAGGAAGAUGGAAUUCAGGGUGUAGCGGUGAAAUGCACAGAUAUCCUGAGGAACACCGGUGGCGAAAGCGGUCUUCUGGCGCGAAACUGACGCUGANGCUCGAAAGCGUGGGUAGCAAACAGGAUUAGAUACCCUGGUAGUCCACGCCGUAAACGUUGUAUACUAGGUGUAGGANGUAUCGAC